This 253-nucleotide ribosomal RNA is filed under the name uncultured bacterium. RNAcentral's name for it is "partial 16S ribosomal RNA". It matches the Rfam family "Bacterial small subunit ribosomal RNA", at positions 524 to 776 of the family's 1533-position model. The record is from RNAcentral.
UACGUAGGGUGCAAGCGUUGUCCGGAAUUAUUGGGCGUAAAGAGCUCGUAGGCGGUUCGUCGCGUCGGCUGUGAAAACCCGGAGCUCAACUCCGGGCCUGCAGUCGAUACGGGCGGACUAGAGUUCGGCAGGGGAGACUGGAAUUCCUGGUGUAGCGGUGGAAUGCGCAGAUAUCAGGAGGAACACCGGUGGCGAAGGCGGGUCUCUGGGCCGAUACUGACACUGAGAAGCGAAAGCGUGGGGAGCGAACAGG